RNAcentral lists this ribosomal RNA (460 nucleotides) under uncultured bacterium. RNAcentral describes it as "partial 16S ribosomal RNA". It matches the Rfam family "Bacterial small subunit ribosomal RNA", at positions 338 to 795 of the family's 1533-position model. The record is from RNAcentral.
CCUACGGGAGGCAGCAGUGAGGAAUAUUGGUCAAUGGACGAGAGUCUGAACCAGCCAAGUAGCGUGAAGGAUGACUGCCCUAUGGGUUGUAAACUUCUUUUAUAUGGGAAUAAAAUGUUCCACGUGUGGGAUUUUGUAUGUACCAUAUGAAUAAGGAUCGGCUAACUCCGUGCCAGCAGCCGCGGUAAUACGGAGGAUCCGAGCGUUAUCCGGAUUUAUUGGGUUUAAAGGGAGCGUAGGUGGGUUGGUAAGUCAGUUGUGAAAGUUUGCGGCUCAACCGUAAAAUUGCAGUUGAAACUGGCAGUCUUGAGUACAGUAGAGGUGGGCGGAAUUCGUGGUGUAGCGGUGAAAUGCUUAGAUAUCAGGAAGAACUCCGGUUGCGAAGGCAGUUCACUGGACUGCAACUGACACUGAGGCUCGAAAGUGUGGGUAUCAAACAGGAUUAGAUACCCCUGUAGUC